GUCUCGGUAGUCUAAAGGCUUAGGACGCUCGCACGGAAUGCAAGAGAUCCGGGUUCGACUCUCGGCCGAGGCA
Molecule: transfer RNA, 73 nt
Filed under: Mycetomoellerius zeteki
Lineage: Eukaryota; Metazoa; Arthropoda; Insecta; Hymenoptera; Formicidae
Description: Trachymyrmex zeteki tRNA
Rfam family: tRNA
About the family: Transfer RNA (tRNA) molecules are approximately 80 nucleotides in length. Their secondary structure includes four short double-helical elements and three loops (D, anti-codon, and T loops). Further hydrogen bonds mediate the characteristic L-shaped molecular structure. tRNAs have two regions of fundamental functional importance: the anti-codon, which is responsible for specific mRNA codon recognition, and the 3' end, to which the tRNAs corresponding amino acid is attached (by aminoacyl-tRNA synthetases). tRNAs cope with the degeneracy of the genetic code in two manners: having more than one tRNA (with a specific anti-codon) for a particular amino acid; and 'wobble' base-pairing, i.e. permitting non-standard base-pairing at the 3rd anti-codon position.
Source: Rfam by way of RNAcentral